This 813-nucleotide ribosomal RNA is filed under the name uncultured bacterium. RNAcentral describes it as "bacterial SSU rRNA". It matches the Rfam family "Bacterial small subunit ribosomal RNA", at positions 1 to 809 of the family's 1533-position model. The record is from RNAcentral.
GAAUUCGCCCUUAGAGGGUGCUUUUGGCUCAGGAUGAACGCUGGCGGCGUGCCUAACACAUGCAAGUCGAGCGAAGCGCUUUACUUGAAUUCUUCGGAAGGAAAGUAUUGUGACUGAGCGGCGGACGGGUGAGUAUCGCGUGGGUAACCUGCCUCAUACAGGGGGAUAACAGUUAGAAACGACUGCUAAUGCCGCAUAAGACCACAGCACCGCAUGGUGCGGGGGUAAAAACUCCGGUGGUAUGAGAUGGACCCGCGUCUGAUUAGCUAGUUGGUAAGGUAAGGGCUUACCAAGGCGACGAUCAGUAGCCGACCUGAGAGGGUGAUCGGCCACAUUGGGACUGAGACACGGCCCAAACUCCUACGGGAGGCAGCAGUGGGGAAUAUUGCACAAUGGGGGAAACCCUGAUGCAGCGACGCCGCGUGAGUGAUGAAGUAUUUCGGUAUGUAAAGCUCUAUCAGCAGGGAAGAAAAUGACGGUACCUGACUAAGAAGCACCGGCUAAAUACGUGCCAGCAGCCGCGGUAAUACGUAUGGUGCAAGCGUUAUCCGGAUUUACUGGGUGUAAAGGGAGCGUAGACGGAGAGGCAAGUCUGAUGUGAAAACCCGGGGCUCAACCCCGGGACUGCAUUGGAAACUGUUUUUCUAGAGUGUCGGAGAGGCAAGUGGAAUUCCUAGUGUAGCGGUGAAAUGCGUAGAUAUUAGGAGGAACACCAGUGGCGAAGGCGGCUUGCUGGACGAUGACUGACGUUGAGGCUCGAAAGCGUGGGGAGCAAACAGGAUUAGAUACCCUGGUAGUCCACGCCGUAAACGA